GAUGAACGCUGGCGGCGUGCUUAACACAUGCAAGUCGAACGAAGCACCUUAUUCUGAUUUCUUCGGAAUGAAAAUUUGGUGACUGAGUGGCGGACGGGUGAGUAACGCGUGGGUAACCUGCCUCAUACAGGGGGAUAACAGUUAGAAAUGGCUGCUAAUACCCCACUAAGACCACAGCACCGCAUGGUGCAGGGGUAAAACGUACCGGUGGUAUGAGAUGGACCCGCGUCUGAUUAGGUAGUUGGUGAGGUAACGGCCCACCAAGCCGACGAUCAGUAGCCGACCUGAGAGGGUGACCGGCCACAUUGGGACUGAGACACGGCCCAG
This 327-nucleotide ribosomal RNA is filed under the name uncultured bacterium. RNAcentral's name for it is "bacterial SSU rRNA". It matches the Rfam family "Bacterial small subunit ribosomal RNA", at positions 28 to 334 of the family's 1533-position model. The record is from RNAcentral.